GGAGUAUCUAAAAUCAGAGAAACGCUCAGAAAAGGUACUUUUUACUGGAGAGUGUUCAGCACUAGCCUAUAUGCUUCUGAACUCAGAGGAGGUUCUGGACGAGUUGGACCUGAAGAAAUACAACACCUCAGUGAAGGGUUAUAGGAGACUGAUCCCAGCUGUGGCUAUCUGCAGAAAAGCUCUAUUAGCUAGCUGUAAUCUCACUGAGGAUUCCUGUGAAACAUUUUGCUCUGCUCUACAAUCAGCCAACUCUUGACACUGAAAGAACUGGACCUCAGUAACAACAACCUGCAGGAUUCAGGAGUGGUCCUGCUUUCUGCUGGACUGAAGGAUUCACAUUGUAAAGUGGAGACACUUAGAUUGUCUGGUUGUACGGUUAAAGACAAAGGCUGUUGUUCUCUGGCUUCAGCUCUGAAAUUAAACCCUUCCCACCUGAGAGAACUGGAACUGUCCUAUAAUCACCUAGGAGAAUCUGGAGUGAAGAUGCUGUCUGAUCUACUGGACGAUCCACACUACGCACUGGACACACUCAGGGUGGAUCAUGGAGGGGAGAUCAGGAUGAAACCAGGACUGAAGAAAUAUGCUGUUGAUCUCACUCUGCAUCCAAACACAGUGAACAGGUGUCUCUCUCUGUCUGAGGGGAACAGAAAGGUGGAGCGUGUGUUUAAGGAUCAUUCGUAUCCAGACCAUCCAGACAGAUUUGAUGGCAUGCCUCAGGUUCUAAGUGUGGAGAGUCUGACUGGACGCUGUUACUGGGAGCUUCAGUGGAGCAGUCAGAGGGCUGAUAUAUCAGUAUUAUACAGAGGAAUCAGGAGGAAAGGAGGCAUAUUUGAGUGUGGUUUUGCCUACAAUAAUCAGUCCUGGAGUCUCCAGCACUUUGUAAGCAGAUACACUGAUAAGAGAUACUCCUUCUGGCACAAUGAAAAGAGAACCUACCUACCUGUCCCUCCUUCACCCUCUAAAAGAGUAGGAGUGUAUCUGGACUGGGAGUCCGGCACUCUGUCCUUCUACUCCAUCUCACCUGACACGCACACAAUGUUCCACCUACACACACUCUACACCACAUUCACUGAGCCGCUCUAUGGGAUUGGGAUUUAUGAUUACCCUGUGUGGUUGUGUGAGAUAGAAUAACCUCCUGAAUCCUGCAGGAAAAAUUAAAACACCAGAAACACACUACUGUGUGUGUCAUGGUAGAUUUUGACAGUAUUAAUACAUACAGUUAGGCUUUAGUUUAUAGCACUAGUAAUAUACUUGUUAGGUACAAAUGAUAUCCCUUUUCCAUCACAUUGAUGACUGAAAGUUAUUCUACUGACACCUGGUAGCCAGUGCUUAUUUAGUUUCACCAUUCUAAAUAUAUUAAAAUAUUUCAGUACCAUUUUAUCUGACAUAUUCUUACAUAACAUAUUCAUAACAUCCUACAUAAACAUAGUAUGUUCAUGAACAUUCAUAAAGCAUACAUGCUUUACAUGAUAUUAAUAUUGAAAACUAUGUCAUUUAACUGAGAAAUAUUUUUCCACUUUUUAUUUUAUUUUGAAAAACUAUAUGAUUUCCAGUGAGACUCUGACCUGGUUUUACCCCUUUGAACACAGUACUUUGACAGUUGAAACUUCUUUUUAAUUAUUUUUUUUCUUAACCUUUUGUAUUUUGUACUUUAUGUUUUCUUUACAAUGUUAUUGUACCAGGAGAUUAAUCCAGUUUAUACAUUGUUAAGGAAAACAGUAUUUACUGUGGGGCAUUAAAUUCUAGCACUGUCAUCACAAUGAUAAUUUAGAGGUUUUUUUUAUUUUUAGUCAUUAUCUUCCUUACUUAUGGUAUUGGAGAUGUUACAAAUAUAAUCGUGCAUUAGUUGUCCUCUUUGAUUGACACACAUUGAGGUUAAAUGUUAUACACACUGUUAUCCCAAGGACCAAUCAAUUAUGUUACUGUAGCAUGGCAUGUGCUACCCCGGGCUCAAGGAGGACGCUGGAGGCAGGGUUCAGUGCUGCAGCAGCCAUAUUUAUUAACACAAAAUAAACAAACUCCAAACAACCCAAAUAAUCAAAGCUCUGCUGGCCACUUUUCAGUGGCUUCCACUAGCUAG
RNA transcript from Colossoma macropomum (tambaqui), 2080 nucleotides. It is a transcript of the gene named stonustoxin subunit beta-like, with no coding region annotated. The transcript is spliced from 5 exons. The record is from RefSeq and is a predicted model, not a curated record. NCBI's taxonomy places the organism in Eukaryota, Metazoa, Chordata, Actinopteri, Characiformes, Serrasalmidae.